UACGUAGGGUCCGAGCGUUGUCCGGAAUUACUGGGCGUAAAGAGCUCGUAGGUGGUUUGUCGCGUCUGCUGUGAAAACUGGGGGCUCAACCCCCAGCCUGCAGUGGGUACGGGCAGACUAGAGUGCGGUAGGGGAGAUUGGAAUUCCUGGUGUAGCGGUGGAAUGCGCAGAUAUCAGGAGGAACACCGAUGGCGAAGGCGGGUCUCUGGGCAGUAACUGACGCUGAGGAGCGAAAGCGUGGGGAGCGAACAGG
This 253-nucleotide ribosomal RNA is filed under the name uncultured bacterium. Its description in RNAcentral is "partial 16S ribosomal RNA". It matches the Rfam family "Bacterial small subunit ribosomal RNA", at positions 524 to 776 of the family's 1533-position model. The record is from RNAcentral.